This 578-nucleotide ribosomal RNA is filed under the name uncultured Streptococcus sp. Its description in RNAcentral is "bacterial SSU rRNA". It matches the Rfam family "Bacterial small subunit ribosomal RNA", at positions 268 to 776 of the family's 1533-position model. The record is from RNAcentral. Lineage: Bacteria; Bacillati; Bacillota; Bacilli; Lactobacillales; Streptococcaceae.
UUGUAAAAACAAAGGCCAGUGAGCGUGCGUAAUACGACUCACUAUAGGGCGAAUUGGAGCUCCCGCGGUGCGGCCGCUCUAGAACUAGUGGAUCCCCCGGGCUGCAGCCCAAUGUGGAAUUCGCCCUUACUCCUACGGGAGGCAGCAGUGGGGAAUAUUGGACAAUGGACCGAGAGUCUGAUCCAGCAAUUCUGUGUGCACGAUGAAGUUUUUCGGAAUGUAAACUGCUGUUAUAAGGGAAGAAAAAAUAGAAUAGGAAAUGAUUUUAUCUUGACGGUACCUUAUUAGAAAGCGACGGCAAACUAUGUGCCAGCAGCUGCGGUAAUACAUAGGUCGCAAGCGUUAUCCGGAAUUAUUGGGCGUAAAGCGUCCGUAGGUUUUUUGCUAAGUCUGGAGUUAAAUGCUGAAGCUCAACUUCAGUCCGCUUUGGAUACUGGCAAAAUAGAAUUAUAAAGAGGUUAGCGGAAUUCCUAGUGAAGCGGUGGAAUGCGUAGAUAUUAGGAAGAACACCAAUAGGCGAAGGCAGCUAACUGGUUAUAUAUUGACACUAAGGGACGAAAGCGUGGGGAGCAAACAGG